UGCAGAGUAGUAGCAGUGGUAGCUCGUCAGCCUCAUAAGCUGAAGGUCGGUGGUUCGAAUCCAUCCUCUGCGUCCA
RNAcentral lists this transfer RNA (76 nucleotides) under Sulfurihydrogenibium sp. RNAcentral describes it as "tRNA-Met". It matches the Rfam family "tRNA". From Rfam's summary of the family: Transfer RNA (tRNA) molecules are approximately 80 nucleotides in length. The record is from RNAcentral. Lineage: Bacteria; Pseudomonadati; Aquificota; Aquificia; Aquificales; Hydrogenothermaceae.